GAACUACCAAAAUGUUUGUAAGGGGGUGGUGACUUUCUAUACAAAGUGUAUAAAACCUUUUUUGAAAGGAAGUAGGGUUUCAUGGAAAUUGUGGUUGUGGGUUAGUUUAAAAUGAAAUAUGAAGCUGUGCAUUGUCAAACUUAACCAGUGAUUAUGGAGAGCACCUUUUGUUUCAGCAUACAUAGAAUGGGAUGUCUUUGGUUUAUUUGGAUGAUUUUGUUCAUUAUCAAGACAAAUCAAUCAGUGAAAUCUGAGUUUCAAGUGGUUCAGCUUGGAGAUCAUACCAUUUUGCCCUGUGACAUCUCUUACCAUUACGACAUAACGUGGUUGAAACACCAGCCUGACAAAACUCCUGUCAUUGUGUUGAUUACAAGUAUAAUCAAUGGGAAUAUAAUCAAUCAGCAACAACACAAUCAUCGUUUCAAGGCAGAGAUUUGGAACAGGUCACUGGCAUUGAAAAUCAGUACUCUCCAAGAUGCAGACAGUGGAUUUUAUUUUUGCAUGGGAAAGGUUGGGAAAACAAUGACGGUUGGAAGAGGAACCUUACUUCAUGUGUCACAUGUGAUGUCUACUGGCACCUCGGGGCUCACCUUCAUUCAUCUGUAUACAACCGCAGUUGGACUUGGUCUGAUGGGAAUGAUACUAGCAGUUUUCAUUGCUCAUUACACGGCCAAAAAAAGAAACAGGACAAUCUGACCAAAGAAGUGGCGCUGUGUGCUCUUAUCUUACUCCGUGUUUUUCCGUGUCUGUUAACAGUAACCUACACUCACCUAAAGGAUUAUUAGGAACACCAUACUAAUACUGUGUUUGACCCCCUUUCGCUUUCAGAACUGCCUUAAUUCUACGUGGCAUUGAUUCAACAAGGUGCUGAAAGCAUUCUUUAGAAAUGUUGGCCCAUAUUGAUAGGAUAGCAUCUUGCAGUUGAUGGAGAUUUGUGGGAUGCACAUCCAGGGCACGAAGCUCCCGUUCCACCACAUCCCAAAAAUGCUCUAUUGGGUUAAGAUCUGGUGACUGUGGGGGUAAUUUCAGUACAGUGAACUCAUUGUCAUGUUCAAGAAACCAAUUUGAAAUGAUUCGAGCUUUGUGACACGGCCCAUUCUCCUCUGACCUCUAGCAUCAACAAGGCAUUUUCGCCCACAGGACUGCCGCAUACUGGAUGUUUUUCCCUUUUCACACCAUUCUUUGUAAACCCUAGAAAUGGAUGUGCGUGAAAAUCUCAGUAACUGAGCAGAUUGUGAAAUACUCAGACCGGCCCGUCUGGCACCAACAACUAUGCCACGCU
Long non-coding RNA from Esox lucius (northern pike), 1282 nucleotides. Lineage: Eukaryota; Metazoa; Chordata; Actinopteri; Esociformes; Esocidae. The record is from Ensembl.